This 119-nucleotide ribosomal RNA is filed under the name Sus scrofa (pig). The record is from RNAcentral. Lineage: Eukaryota; Metazoa; Chordata; Mammalia; Artiodactyla; Suidae.
GUCUACGGCCAUACCACCCUGAACGCGCCCGAUCCCGUCUGAUAUCGGAAGCUAAGCAGGGUCGGGUCUGGUUAGUACUUGGAUGGGAGAACGCCUGGGAAUACCGGGUGCUGUAGGCU